RNAcentral lists this ribosomal RNA (1310 nucleotides) under Neopetrolisthes maculatus (porcelain anemone crab). RNAcentral describes it as "16S ribosomal RNA". The stretch from base 845 to 1244 matches the Rfam family "Bacterial large subunit ribosomal RNA", at positions 2049 to 2651 of the family's 2925-position model. Lineage: Eukaryota; Metazoa; Arthropoda; Malacostraca; Decapoda; Porcellanidae. The record is from RNAcentral.
GUUAAAAGAUUACUUAAUAAGAAGGAAGAAUAGGUUUAAUAAGAAAAGUAUUUUGAAAGAAAAAUUUUUAGUAUAAGUAAAAAAGUUAAUAAAAUGGUUAUAGGGUAUAAGUAUUGUAAAAGAAAAUUGUUUAUAGAGAAUCAAAGAAAAGAAAUUUAAAAUGUACCUUUUGUAUCAUGGAUAAUCGAAAUUAAUGAAAUAAAAUCUAAAUCCCGAAAAAAAAAGAGUUAUAAUAAAAAUAAGUCCUUGUAGAAAAAAGGUUUAAAAUUUUAUUAUGGAAACGAAAAGUUAGUCGUGUUUUUAUAUCUGGUUCUUUAUAAAGUAAAUUUAAUUUAGAAUAAGAAAUAAAAAUUUUCUUAAAUUUAAAAAUAUAAGGGUAGAGCUUUAUAUUUUGUAUAGAUUGAAGUCAGAAAAAAUUAUUUUUUUAAAUUAGGCAUAAAAGUUGCAAUAUUAAAAAAGUGUUUUAACUUAAAAAAUUUAAAUAUAAUUUUUAUAGGACUAGAAAUUAAAGUAAAGAGUUGUGUUAAUUAAAAAAUCAGUUGUUAUUAUGAUUAUAUUAGUAAGAAAAAAUGUUUAUAAAAAGAUUAUUAAAAUUAAUUUAACAUUAAAAUUUAAAACAGGAUUGAAGAAGGAACUCGGCAAAAGGUGGCUCCGCCUGUUUAACAAAAACAUGUCUGUAUGAAGUUAAAUAGAGUCUAUUCUGCCCGUUGAAUUUUUUAAUUUGAAAGGCCGCAGUAUUCUGACUGUGCAAAGGUAGCAUAAUCAUUAGUUUUUUAAUUGAAGGCUUGGAUGAAUGAUUGGACGAGAGCUAAACUGUCUUCUUCAAUUAAACUGAAUUUUAUUUUUAAGUGAAAAAGCUUAAAUGGUUAAGAAAGACGAUAAGACCCUAUAAAUCUUUAUGUAAAUAAAUCUUUUAGGUUCAAAUAUUAGGUUAAAUAAACUUAAAUGGUUAAAACAUUAUGCUGGGGUGGUAAAGAUAUAAAAAAUAAACUGUCAGAAAAUUAAACAAAAAUUUUUGUUAGUAAAAGAUCCUUUAUUAGGAUUAAAAGUAAAAGUUACUUUAGGGAUAACAGCAUAAUUCCUUUUGAGAGUUCAAAUCGAAAAAGGAGCUUGUGACCUCGAUGUUGAAUUAAGAGAUCCUUUAUGGUGCAGCAGCUAAAAAAGGAAGUCUGUUCGACUUUUAAAUUCUUACAUGAUUUGAGUUCAGACCGGCGUGAGCCAGGUUGGUUUCUAUCUUCUUAAUUAAAUAUGAUCAUUUUAGUACGAAAGGAUUGAGUGAAUCAAAAUAAUUUUUUGUUAAGAAUAAUAUU